RNAcentral lists this transfer RNA (63 nucleotides) under chicken gut metagenome. It matches the Rfam family "tRNA", at positions 6 to 65 of the family's 71-position model. From Rfam's summary of the family: Transfer RNA (tRNA) molecules are approximately 80 nucleotides in length. Their secondary structure includes four short double-helical elements and three loops (D, anti-codon, and T loops). The record is from RNAcentral.
CUUUAGCUCAGUUGGUAGAGCAGCUGACUCUUAAUCAGCGGGUCCCGGGUUCGAGUCCCUGAA